Molecule: ribosomal RNA, 301 nt
Filed under: uncultured bacterium
Lineage: Bacteria
Description: partial 16S ribosomal RNA
Rfam family: Bacterial small subunit ribosomal RNA
Source: RNAcentral
CAGUAGCCGCGGUAAUACGUAGGGUGCGAGCGUUAAUCGGAAUUACUGGGCGUAAAGCGUGCGCAGGCGGUGAUGUAAGACAGUUGUGAAAUCCCCGGGCUCAACCUGGGAACUGCAUCUGUGACUGCAUCGCCGGAGUGCGGCAGAGGGGGAUGGAAUUCCGCGUGUAGCAGUGAAAUGCGUAGAUAUGCGGAGGAACACCGAUGGCGAAGGCAAUCCCCUGGGCCUGCACUGACGCUCAUGCACGAAAGCGUGGGGAGCAAACAGGAUUAGAUACCCCGGUAGUCCCUGUCUCUUAUAC